Molecule: ribosomal RNA, 253 nt
Filed under: uncultured bacterium
Lineage: Bacteria
Description: partial 16S ribosomal RNA
Rfam family: Bacterial small subunit ribosomal RNA
Source: RNAcentral
UACGUAGGUGGCAAGCGUUGUCCGGAUUUAUUGGGUUUAAAGGGUGCGUAGGCGGUCUUUUAAGUCAGUGCUGAAAUAUCCCGGCUUAACCGGGAGGGUGGCAUUGAUACUGAAGGACUUGAGUAAAGUUGAGGUUGGCGGAAUUGACGGUGUAGCGGUGAAAUGCUUAGAUAUCGUCAAGAACACCGAUAGUGCAGACAGCUCACUAAGCUUUAACUGACGCUGAGGCACGAAAGUGUGGGGAUCAAACAGG